UUUAAUUAAUUAAUUAAUUAAUUUGAACAGAUCUAAUAUGGUGAUGGUUCCUGCUAAUUUCCUUCUUAGGAAUAGUUAUAGUGAGCACUCCAUUUUCCAUUGAUGACUUAACAUAAUCAGCCCUACUAUUUAGAGGUAGUGAAAAAGAUGUGAAGAAUUUUCCACUACUUCUUUCAUAAUGGUGCCAAUUAUCUUCUUUCUUCAUCAUUCUUGUUUCCCCAGUAAUUUUAAGUAUUUUUUCAUCCUCCACCUGUACUUUGACGUCUUCUUUCUUGUAACCAUGCAAGUUACACCUAAAGAUAUGUGACUCUGGUGUUUCCUUAUACUCGAUUUGCGCCAUCGUUGCAGGUACAUGGUGGAACGAUGGUGCUGGAGCUAUGAGGGAUCGAGGGUUUUCGAGAUAAAAUUCAUGGAAAGGAUCCCAUACAUCAUGAUGAGCAAAAGGAUCGUGCACUUGGUGCGCGUGUUGAGAAUAAGGAUCAUACACGGGGUGUGAAGGUCGAGAAUAAGGAUCAUGCACCUUGUGUGUCUUGUGAUCGGAGUAAGGAUCAUGCACCUUGUGUGUCUUGUGAUCGGAG
This 578-nucleotide unclassified non-coding RNA is filed under the name Hevea brasiliensis (rubber tree). The record is from RNAcentral. Lineage: Eukaryota; Viridiplantae; Streptophyta; Magnoliopsida; Malpighiales; Euphorbiaceae.